This 31-nucleotide non-coding RNA is filed under the name Mus musculus (house mouse). The record is from RNAcentral. Lineage: Eukaryota; Metazoa; Chordata; Mammalia; Rodentia; Muridae. RNAcentral also lists the same sequence under 1 other name.
UCAAAGAAGGUUUUCAGGAGACUAUGCAAGU